This 253-nucleotide ribosomal RNA is filed under the name uncultured bacterium. RNAcentral describes it as "partial 16S ribosomal RNA". It matches the Rfam family "Bacterial small subunit ribosomal RNA", at positions 524 to 776 of the family's 1533-position model. The record is from RNAcentral.
GACGUAGGGUGCGAGCGUUGUCCGGAUUUACUGGGCGUAAAGAGCGCGCAGGCGGUCGAUCAAGUCGAGUGUGAAAGCCCCCGGCUCAACUGGGGAGGGGCAUUCGAUACUGAUCGACUCGAAGGCAGGAGAGGGUAGUGGAAUUCCCGGUGUAGUGGUGAAAUGCGUAGAUAUCGGGAGGAACACCAGUGGCGAAGGCGACUACCUGGCCUGUUCUUGACGCUGAGGCGCGAAAGCUAGGGGAGCAAACGGG